GCCAAUUCAGUCGGCAGAGCGCGCGCUUCUCAAGCACGUGGCCGCGGGUUCGAGCUCCGCCCGAGGUG
Molecule: transfer RNA, 68 nt
Filed under: Perkinsus olseni
Lineage: Eukaryota; Perkinsozoa; Perkinsida; Perkinsidae
Description: tRNA-Glu
Source: RNAcentral